AGAGAUGUGUGAUGACGCAUAUCAAUAAGCGGAGGAAAAGAAACUAACAAGGAUUCCCUUAGUAACGGCGAGUGAAGCGGGGAGAGCUCAAAUUUGAAAUCUUCAAGGUUUUACCUUGACGAAUUGUAGUUUAAAGAAGUGUUUUCUGUUGGAGUUUUGGUAAAAGUUCUUUGGAAUAGGACAUCAUAGAGGGUGAGAAUCCCGUAUUUGACCAUUAUUUCCAACUUUGUGAUACACUUUCAAAGAGUCGGAUUGUUUGGGAAUGCAGUCCAAAAUGGGUGGUAAAUUUCAUCUAAAGCUAAAUACUGGCGAGAGACCGAUAGCGAACAAGUACCGUGAGGGAAAGAUGAAAAGAACUUUGAAAAGAGAGUUAAACAGUACGUGAAAUUGUCAAAAGGGAAGCGUUUGACACCAGUGUUGUUUUUCCGAAAAUCAAUUACGAAUGUUUUGUUUUUGAGAAGUUAUGACUUCAUCGGCUUGCUUCUUUCUUUACGAAACUUUCUUAAUGCACUUUUCGGUUAACAAGUCAACAUCAAUUUCUUUUGUUGUAAAAGGGUAUGAGGAAGGUGGCUUUCUUUUCGGAGAAAGUGUUUAUAGCCUUGUGCCUCUGCAAUCGGAGAGAUUGAGGUCUGCAGCGUAGAUCCUUCGGGGUUAGAUACGUUUGUGCUAAGUUAUAGCUUUUCAUAGACAACUUGUUGACUAUGUUUAGUCUUGUAGCUUACUCGCUGACGCUAUUUUACCUACGCUUAGGAUGUUGAACUACUGAGACAUAGA
RNAcentral lists this ribosomal RNA (774 nucleotides) under uncultured Neocallimastigales. RNAcentral describes it as "partial large subunit ribosomal RNA". It matches the Rfam family "Eukaryotic large subunit ribosomal RNA", at positions 23 to 644 of the family's 3401-position model. Lineage: Eukaryota; Fungi; Neocallimastigomycota; Neocallimastigomycetes; Neocallimastigales. The record is from RNAcentral.